RNAcentral lists this ribosomal RNA (255 nucleotides) under uncultured bacterium. Its description in RNAcentral is "partial 16S ribosomal RNA". It matches the Rfam family "Bacterial small subunit ribosomal RNA", at positions 99 to 354 of the family's 1533-position model. The record is from RNAcentral.
CGGACGGGUGAGUAACGCGUGGAAAACCUGCCGUAUACUGGGGGAUAACACUUAGAAAUAGGUGCUAAUACCGCAUAAGCGCACAGCUUCGCAUGAAGCGGUGUGAAAAACUCUGGUGGUAUACGAUGGUUCCGCGUCUGAUCAGCUAGUUGGUGGGGUAAUGGCCUACCAAGGCAACGAUCAGUAGCCGGCCUGAGAGGGUGAACGGCCACAUUGGGACUGAGACACGGCCCAAACUCCUACGGAAGGCAGCAG